AGUACGUGAAACUGCUUAGAGGUUAAACCCGAUGAACCUGAAUAUCCAUUAUGGAAAAUUCAAUGCUAAUAGUACAAUGUAUGUAAUAUUGUAAAAAUAGUAUGCAAUUUUUCCAUAUAAGGACAUUGUAAUCUGUUAAUGUAAUAAAUAUUUAUCAAAAGAUUCAUUACUUAAGUUUAUUCAAAUUGUUUAUCUUCGGAUAUUCAACAUAAAAUAAAUGUAUUGAAUUGGAUAAAUCGUUGACAGAUAUAAUUAUAUAUGGUGCUCAAAUUUUACGGAAUUUUACAAUGAUAAAUAGUUCUUAUGAUCUAUUUAUUUAAUUGUUUGCGCUAUUAUGAUUAACAAUGCGAUAGAUUCAGGAUACCUUCGGGACCCGUCUUGAAACACGGACCAAGGAGUCUAACAUAUGUGCAAGUCAUUGGGUAUUUAUAAUAAAACCCAAUGGCAUAAUUAACUUAACUUAUAUAAUGGGAUUAAUUUAUAAUUUAUUAUGAAUUAUUUAUUCAAUCCCGGGGCGUUCUAUAUAGUUAUGUAUAAUAGUAUUUAUAUUAUUUAUACCUCUAACUGGAGCGUACCUUGAGC
RNAcentral lists this ribosomal RNA (582 nucleotides) under Ocyptamus fuscipennis. RNAcentral's name for it is "eukaryotic LSU rRNA". Lineage: Eukaryota; Metazoa; Arthropoda; Insecta; Diptera; Syrphidae. The record is from RNAcentral.